CCGUUUUAUCGCCCCGAGGAUCAUACCGACACAGCUCUACCUUACCAAAAUGGCCCUGCAUGAGGAACAUGUUAGAAAUGUGGAAGAACAGAGACUAUUAUGUUGCUGUGGGGCCCAGCUGAGGGGCAGAUCAGUGGUAAUGCACCUAGUGAACUUCCUCAUGAACAUCAGAGCUGAGUAAACAACUCUCUCUCUCUGUCUCUCUCUCUUUGCACUGUGUACGAGGCUGCUGUUAGGUGAGAUACAAAAUAUGCAAAACAUUCAUAUCAUAUUACAACUGUUAACAACUGCCUUGAAUUCUUCAACCUGUACUUGCCCUUUAACCUGUUCUGCAACAUACAGUCUGUUGGGAAAGACCCAAAAGGCAGAACAGCUUGUUUCUAUGACAAUAAAGAACCAAAAACUGCAGAACCAAAACAA
Molecule: long non-coding RNA, 420 nt
Organism: Dicentrarchus labrax (European seabass)
Lineage: Eukaryota; Metazoa; Chordata; Actinopteri; Moronidae
Exons: 2
Source: RefSeq, a predicted model, not a curated record